AGCCGAGCGGUAUUGUUUCUUCGGAAAUGAGAGAGCGGCGUACGGGCUGCGGAACACGUGUGCAACCUGCCUUUAUCUGGGGGAUAGCCUUUCGAAAGGAAGAUUAAUACUCCAUAAUAUAUUGAACGGCAUCGUUUAAUAUUGAAAGCUCCGGCGGAUAGAGAUGGGCACGCGCAAGAUUAGCUAGUUGGUGAGGUAACGGCUCACCAAGGCGAUGAUCUUUAGGGGGCCUGAGAGGGUGAUCCCCCACACUGGUACUGAGACACGGACCAGACUCCUACGGGAGGCAGCAGUGAGGAAUAUUGGUCAAUGGGUGCAAGCCUGAACCAGCCAUCCCGCGUGAAGGACGACUGCCCUAUGGGUUGUAAACUUCUUUUGUAUAGGGAUAAACCUACCCUCGUGAGGGUAGCUGAAGGUACUAUACGAAUAAGCACCGGCUAACUCCGUGCCAGCAGCCGCGGUAAUACGGAGGGUGCAAGCGUUAUCCGGAUUUAUUGGGUUUAAAGGGCCCGUAGGCGGACUUAUAAGUCAGUGGUGAAAGCCUGUCGCUUAACGAUAGAACUGCCAUUGAUACUGUAAGUCUUGAGUAUAUUUGAGGUAGCUGGAAUAAGUAGUGUAGCGGUGAAAUGCAUAGAUAUUACUUAAACACCAAUUGCGAAGGCAGGUUACCAAGAUAUAACUGACGCUGAGGGACGA
This 696-nucleotide ribosomal RNA is filed under the name uncultured bacterium. RNAcentral describes it as "bacterial SSU rRNA". It matches the Rfam family "Bacterial small subunit ribosomal RNA", at positions 60 to 756 of the family's 1533-position model. The record is from RNAcentral.